This 76-nucleotide transfer RNA is filed under the name Magnetococcales bacterium. Its description in RNAcentral is "tRNA-Arg". It matches the Rfam family "tRNA". Rfam says of the family: Transfer RNA (tRNA) molecules are approximately 80 nucleotides in length. The record is from RNAcentral. Lineage: Bacteria; Pseudomonadati; Pseudomonadota; Magnetococcia; Magnetococcales.
CUGCGUGUAGCUCAAAGGAUAGAGCGCCGGGAUCCUACCCCGAAGGUUGCAGGUUCAAAUCCUGCCACGCAGACCA